GAUGAACGCUGGCGGCGUGCCUAAUACAUGCAAGUCGAGCGAACGGACGAGAAGCUUGCUUCUCUGAUGUUAGCGGCGGACGGGUGAGUAACACGUGGAUAACCUACCUAUAAGACUGGGAUAACUUCGGGAAACCGGAGCUAAUACCGGAUGAUAUUUUGAACCGCAUGGUUCAAAAGUGAAAGACGGUCUUGCUGUCACUUAUAGAUGGAUCCGCGCUGCAUUAGCUAGUUGGUAAGGUAACGGCUUACCAAGGCAACGAUGCAUAGCCGACCUGAGAGGGUGAUCGGCCACACUGGAACUGAGACACGGUCCAGACUCCUACGGGAGGCAGCAGUAGGGAAUCUUCCGCAAUGGGCGAAAGCCUGACGGAGCAACGCCGCGUGAGUGAUGAAGGUCUUCGGAUCGUAAAACGCUGUUAUUAGGGAAGAACAUAUGUGUAAGUAACUGUGCACAUCUUGACGGUACCUAAUCAGAAAGCCACGGCUAACUACGUG
RNAcentral lists this ribosomal RNA (497 nucleotides) under uncultured bacterium. RNAcentral describes it as "partial 16S ribosomal RNA". It matches the Rfam family "Bacterial small subunit ribosomal RNA", at positions 28 to 507 of the family's 1533-position model. The record is from RNAcentral.